RNAcentral lists this ribosomal RNA (253 nucleotides) under uncultured bacterium. Its description in RNAcentral is "partial 16S ribosomal RNA". It matches the Rfam family "Bacterial small subunit ribosomal RNA", at positions 524 to 776 of the family's 1533-position model. The record is from RNAcentral.
UACAGAGGUCUCAAGCGUUGUUCGGAUUCAUUGGGCGUAAAGGGUGCGUAGGCGGCGGGGCAAGUCUGAUGUGAAAUCCCGGGGCUCAACCCCGGAACUGCAUUGGAUACUGCUCUGCUAGAGUACUGGAGAGGAGACUGGAAUUCACGGUGUAGCAGUGAAAUGCGUAGAUAUCGUGAGGAAGACCAGUGGCGAAGGCGGGUCUCUGGACAGUUCCUGACACUGAGGCACGAAGGCCAGGGGAGCAAACGGG